This 517-nucleotide ribosomal RNA is filed under the name Macromedaeus hainanensis. RNAcentral's name for it is "Macromedaeus sp. 1 ZMY-2021a partial large subunit ribosomal RNA". It matches the Rfam family "Bacterial large subunit ribosomal RNA", at positions 1832 to 2597 of the family's 2925-position model. Lineage: Eukaryota; Metazoa; Arthropoda; Malacostraca; Decapoda; Xanthidae. The record is from RNAcentral.
GUCUGCUUGAAGAUAUAAGCAGUCUAGCCUGCUCACUGAUAAAAUUAUUUAAGAGCCGCGGUAUAUUGACCGUGCAAAGGUAGCAUAAUCAUUAGAGGUUUAAUUGGAAUCUGGUAUGAAUGGUUGGACAAAGGAAAGACUGUCUUUAUAAUAAAAUUUGAAAUUUACAUUUAAGUGAAAAGGCUUAAAUAAUUUAAGGGGACGAUAAGACCCUAUAAAGCUUUAUAAAAAUUUAAAUUUAUCUGAGUUAAAAAAUAAAAGGUAAGUUUAAUUAUUUUAUUUUGUUGGGGUGAUGUGAGCAUAAUUAUAGUUAACUGCUUAAGAAGAGUUCUAUAUAAAAGAAUUAUAAAUUUAUGAUCCUUUUUAAAGAUUGAAAGACUAAGUUACUUUAGGGGUAACAGCGUUAUUUCUUUUGAGAGUUCAUAUCGAAAAAGAAGAUUGCGACCUCGAUGUUGAAUUAAAAUGUCUAUAUGAUGCAGCCGUUAUAAAAGAGGGUCUGUUCGACCUUUAAAUUUUU